Molecule: ribosomal RNA, 697 nt
Filed under: uncultured Flavobacteriaceae bacterium
Lineage: Bacteria; Pseudomonadati; Bacteroidota; Flavobacteriia; Flavobacteriales; Flavobacteriaceae
Description: bacterial SSU rRNA
Rfam family: Bacterial small subunit ribosomal RNA
Source: RNAcentral
CGCUAGCGGCAGGCCUACACAUGCAAGUCGAGGGGUAACGGGGUGCUUGCACCGCCGACGACCGGCGCACGGGUGCGUAACGCGUAUGCAAUCUACCUUAUACUGGAGUAUAGCCCAGAGAAAUUUGGAUUAAUCCUUCAUAGUCUAUAGAUGUGGCAUCACAUUUAUAGUAAAGGUUACGGUAUAAGAUGAGCAUGCGUCCAAUUAGUUUGUUGGUGAGGUAACGGCUCACCAAGACGUCGAUAGGUAGGGGCCCUGAGAGGGGGAUCCCCCACACUGGUACUGAGACACGGACCAGACUCCUACGGGAGGCAGCAGUGAGGAAUAUUGGACAAUGGGCGAGAGCCUGAUCCAGCCAUGCCGCGUGCGGGAAGACUGCCCUAUGGGUUGUAAACUGCUUUUAUACAGGAAGAAACACUCCCACGUGUGGGAAUUUGACGGUACUGUAAGAAUAAGGAUCGGCUAACUCCGUGCCAGCAGCCGCGGUAAUACGGAGGAUCCAAGCGUUAUCCGGAAUCAUUGGGUUUAAAGGGUCCGUAGGCGGGCAAUUAAGUCAGAGGUGAAAGUUUGCGGCUCAACCGUAAAAUUGCCUUUGACACUGGUUGUCUUGAAUUAGUAUGAAGUGGUUAGAAUGAGUAGUGUAGCGGUGAAAUGCAUAGAUAUUACUCAGAAUACCGAUUGCGAAGGCAGAUCACUA